Molecule: long non-coding RNA, 3237 nt
Organism: Anolis carolinensis (green anole)
Lineage: Eukaryota; Metazoa; Chordata; Lepidosauria; Squamata; Anolidae
Source: Ensembl
CGGAGUUGCGACCUUUUGGAAAAGUGGUCAAGACUUGGCUGUUUGGUUGUGCAUUUAAGUAAAUCAGAUCUAAUUUGCCAAAUAGUCACUGUUGAAUAUUUUUAGGUUUAAUGUUUUUAUGUUGAAUGUUUUUAUGAUGAAUGUUUUUUAUAUUGUGGAAUGAUAUUUUAAAUUGUAAGUUGCUCGGAGCACUCUGGUGGAGAGCAACUAAUUAAGAAAUAAAGUGAAGUGAAGUGGUGCAGCCAGCUUUUGCUGGCAACAAACUGAUUCUAAUGCCCAAGCCGCUCCCCUUGUGCCUGCUUCGAGUCUGCAUCUGGGAAACUGCUCCUAAGGAUUUAUCGCUGUUUCUUUGUUUGAAGUAAGACUGCUACUUGGUUUGGGAAUUUAUCAGAGACUUAAGAACUGUAUUUGCCCCAAGACUUCCUUGCUUUCUUUUGCAUUAUACCACUGAGUGUGCUGUUCUUUAUGUUUUGCUGAAGUAAAGCAGUUUUCAUUUACCACAUUGUUUUGAGGCUGUUCUUGAAAGACAAAACAGGAUGGAAUCCUAGGAUUUCAAAUUGGGCAAAAUAUUAUUGGCGGAGAAGACUCCAUAGUAUUGAGCCAUGGCAGCUAAAUUGUGUCAAACUGCAUUAAUUUACAGUGGAGAUACACCCCGAGUUGUACUUUGAAAGAAAGAAAGGAGGAACACUGAAAAGAGGUCGUGAAAAAUAUUGCAGAUAUUUUCUGAAUUUUUUCACGAUGAUGUGUGAAAUGGAACUGAAUCAAAAUAGUGCAAUCAAGACUUCGGAAACCUCGGAACGAAAUGGCCUGGCCAUUAUUACACAGUGAACCCCUCAAGUUCACAAAUGAAUGCAAACACACCAAGCUGCCGCUCGAGCGAGAGCUGGAAGACCUGCAGGGAGUUAAUGCAGUUUUUUUUUGGCAUUUACAGAUCCUUUGUGAAAAGGUCACCCUGUUCUUGGAAUCUUUUAUUAACACUGAAGAGCAGUCUGGAAAAUGCCAUCUCUUCCUACCAUGAUAUUUACACAAAAGCAUCGAGAGGAAGCAUCUUUGAAACGCAUUGCAAAUAUGUUCAAAAAUUUUGGGAGAACUUUUUUUAAAGAAAUAAAGGGAAUCACCAAAACAGAAAUAAUACCCUGUUUCCCUGAAAAUAAGACAUCCCCGGAAAAUAAGACCUAGUAGAGGUUUUGCUGAAUUGUUAAAUAUAAGGCCUCCCCUGAAAGUAAGACCUAGCAAAGUUUUUGUUUGGAAGCAGGCCCGUCAAACAGAACACCAGAGCAUGCAGGAUCGGUAAAUGUAUGUACCAUAGAGUGUUGUACAUGGAAAUAUUGGUAGUAACAAGAAAUUCUUGAUAGGAUUCACAGUUUGUCUGGUUAUGCUGGUUUGUGAUGACAACUACUGUACAGUAUAUAAUGCUCAUUUUUUGUUCAACAAUAAAUGUGAAUUCUUUUUCAUGGAAAAAUAAGACAUCCCUGAAAAUAUGACCUAGCGCAUCUUUGGGAGCAAAAAUUAAUAUAAGACACUGUCUUAUUUUCGGGGAAACACGGUAGGAACGCCUGAAAUAGGACUGUUGUCAUUUAUGGAUAAUAUUCAAAUAUCAAAAGAGUUAAAGGAACUAAUCGCCAACUUGGUAACAGCAGCCAAAAAAUGGAAAGGAAGGGAGGAGUGCCAAUUGGAAGAAUGGUAUAAGGAGAUUUGGGAUAUUGCGAUAAAUGAUAAAUUGACAUGUAAUAUUAAAAUUAAAAGAGGGUUAUUAAAAAAGGAUGAUUUUGGGAAGAUUUUGGGCUGUGGCACAGCUGGCUAGUAACCAGCGUCAAUAAAUCACUACUGACCAAGAGGUCAUGAGUUCAAAGCUCGGGUCGGGUUAAGCCCCCGACCAUUAAAUAGCCCGGCUUGCUGUUGACCUAUGCAGCCCCUAGAGGAGGGGGUGGGGCCUCUUCCCAAGUGCCUCACAGGGCUGGGCCUCUAUACCCCACUCCCAUGGUCUAACAAGCACCUCAGGGGAGUUAUAGAGGCUCAGCCCUGUCUCAUGCUCUUGGAAAGAGGCCCUGUCCCUGCCGCUCGCCCUGCUCUAGUCCUAAAAGCCCUCUCAAGAGAGGUAUAGAGGCUCAGCCCUGUCUCGGGCUGUUGGAAGGAGGCUAUUACUUAGGCGAUCCCUCGUAGGCCGAGGAUGAUGGUCCUCCAGUUAUAGGGUCUUGGGGGUGGGUUCUUAGGUGGCUGAAGAGACCUAUUCUUGACCCGCAUAUUCUCCCGCAGUGAGGACAUUGGUUUCCAGGUGGAAGGCGGUCCCGAUCAGGGUUGGCUUGACGCUCCUUCCUCUUGGCACGUUUCUCCCUUAAGCCCUCCAUUCAUGCCUCUUCGAACUCCGCAGCACUGCUGGUCACAGCUGACCUCCAAUUAGAGCGCUCAAGGGCCAGGGCUUCCCAGUUCUCAGUGUCUAUGCCACAGUUUUUAAGGCUGACUUUAAGCCCAUCUUUAAAUUUCUUUUCCUGCCCACCAACAUUACGUUUCCCAUUCUUGAGUUCAAAGACCCUGUCCCUGCCGCUCGCCCUGCUCUAGUCCUAAAAGCCCUCUCAAGAGAGGUAUAGAGGCUCAGCCCUGUCUUGGGCUGUUGGAAGGAGGCCCCGCCCCCUUCCCUAGCUCCGCCCUCUGUGUCCCAACAAGCGUCUCAGGAGAGGUAUAGAUUCUCAGCCCUGUCUCGGGCUCUUGGGAAGAGGCCCCGCCCCUCCCCUGGCCCCGCCCCCGUGUCCUAAUAGGUGCCUCAGGAGAGAGGUAGAGGUUCAACCCUGUCUCGGACUCUUGGAAUAUGCGGAAUACAUAAAUCAAUUUUGUGAGAUGUAAUUCCAUUCCGGGUAUGCGUAUUCAGCAGCAAAGCACAAGGAAAGAUGUCUUCACUGUAUCUGUUUGUGAUCCCCAGGUGCCAGUCAGUUUUUGUAUGAUAUUAUUUCUAACACCUACUUUUGGCUUCAUAGUCAGUCAGUACUUCUUGUAAGUCAGACUACAGUCCAGUGACUCCCAAGUAUGUUGUCGUGCUGCAAUGCUCCAGUGGGGUUCCUUCCCAGGUGAUCCUCAGAUCUCGAGAUGCUUGUCUGUUCUUAAGGUGGAAAGCACACGUCUGCAUUGUAGAUGAAUUAGGAAUCAGCUGGUUUUCCCUGUCAUAGGCAGUAAGAGCACCUAGAGCUUCAGAGAGAGCGCAACCAUUUCAAAGCGGUGAUGGCACGAUUGUCAGCAUAGAUG